This is a long non-coding RNA of Tympanuchus pallidicinctus (lesser prairie-chicken), 4105 nucleotides long. RefSeq lists it as uncharacterized. The record is from RefSeq and is a predicted model, not a curated record. The transcript is spliced from 4 exons. NCBI's taxonomy places the organism in Eukaryota, Metazoa, Chordata, Aves, Galliformes, Phasianidae.
GCCGAAACUCAGCUGCUCGGAUCGCCCGUGGCCGAGGAAGGACGAGGGGUCUGUGUCGCUGUGUGCGAGCUGGCCCGGCGUCCCCGCAGAAAUAGCGAAGGUGAAGAGCUGAAGUGAAAUAUUUGGAGUUAGCCCAGAGCAGGUGUACAUACGUAUGAUGUGCCAGGACCUCAAGUCAGGCUGUCACAUACACCCUUUUGCCUACUGGGAACAUGAAUGGUAGUCUCAUAAAAUUUGAAGACAAGAUUUAUGGCAUUCUACAGAAAAUCUCUCCUGAAAGAAACAACCUCUGUGCUAUUGUUGAACUAUGCAAAUACUUCUCACCAGGUACACUCUAACAACCAGCCUUAGGAAGAAAUCUGAUAUGCAGUUACUCACUGUGAUGAUGUUUUUUUCCUGAAUGUGUUGUGCUCUUCUGCAGGUAGAGAGGCUAUUCACAGUAUGUAUACUGUGCCUGUUAGUCUGCAUCUGUUUGGUUGACUAAGGUUCACAGACUAUAUAACCAAUCUCCCUGAUCAUGGGAAAGUUCAUUUUACAAUUUUAUGAGCAGUACUCGGUUUACUUACUGCAGAAGGCAAAGAAUGAGUAACUGGAAUGUACGCUGCUGAAAAAGCAGUUCAAGGGUGGAGUGUCUGUUUCUCAGGCAGUCUUACAAAAUAUGCCUUACCUCCUCACUGCAAAUUUUAUGAGGCCCGAACUGCCCUUCUCUCCUUAGUGCCUUCACACACAUUCGUGCAGCAGGUGAUUCUGAGCACCUUUUGGGUUUGUGGGCUGGGGAAGUGAAAAUGUAAAAGAAUGAUUUCUACCAGUCUGAGGUAAAAGGAGCUUCUCAAUUAUGAAGUGCCUUCAUAGCAGUCAUUUUUUUAGGAGACAGAGCAAAGUUUCCUCUUGCCUCAUUACUGAUACACCUGCUGUUCCUCAUUUCAGCUGAUCACGUUAACAGACAUCUCACUGCUUGCAAGGUAUGUCCAAACUCUUAAUCCUCAUGACUUUAGCUGGCCAAUUUACAUAUCAAAGGAGAUAAAAUAGAUAUUUGAUUAUCUGCUCCCCUCCUUUCCUGCUGACCACAGUUUAACAGUACAGAUUGGAUCAAUCUAUCCCUUUCAGUGCUAUGAAUCAGGGUGCUGUUAAUUUUUUCUCUUUCCUGGGUUGCUAUAAGAGCUGCAUAUUGGAUGGGUAGUGCCUUUCUGUUGUCAGGAAGAGCUGGUAAAACCUGCUCAGCUCAUCCCAGAGGUCAUCAUACUUGACAGGAAAGCAACAGAACAGUUGAAGUUAUUUCUUUACAGCCCUCUUCUUACUUAGAGCUGAAAGGCAGCAAGAGAGUGACCAAGCAUAUUCUGCUUUUUAGAAGAGCUCAUGCUUGAUGCUUUACCUGGGAUCAUGGAGAGGCUGUGAGGCAUAACUGUGGAGAUGUGGAGAUAUGCUUCUCAGCUUGCCCGUCUUUUCUUCAGGGUGAUGUACCCGACUUAAACACAAGCAAACAGCAUGUCCAACUGGGCAGUCAUCAGGGACCUGUCAUCUCAGUUGACCUCAGCAGUCUUGCUAUAGAACCUGCAGACCUACAGGACAAUAGCAUGUACAACAUGUCUACCUUUCUCACACUCCGGUCUCUGUAAGUAAUAAGCACACAAUUUGCUUUAUGGGCAGAAAGCAGCUAUAAUCCAGAAGAGGAGUGAGUUUUGCUUUGGCAUAACAGUAUUGAGUCCAAAGUGCAGAAUUCUGGUACACAGCUACAUGUAAAUUACUGUGAUCGCUGCAUCGCAUAUCACGCCUGGAUUCCCUACUUCCCCAGUCAUCUCUGAUCACAGAAUGGCCUGAGUUGGAAGAAUCAUGAAGCUCCAACCCCCCUGCCAUAUGCAGGGCCACCAAUCUCCCCAUUUAAUACUAGACUAGGCUGCCCAGGGCCCCAUCCAACCUGGUCUUGAACACCUCUAGGGAUGGGGCAUCCACAACCUCUUUAGACAGCCUGUUCCAGCACCUCACCACUCUCGUAGUAAAGAACUUCACUUUCGUAAGCCUUGUGAAGACAGCACCUCAAUUCAGACACCAUUUUUAAUGUAAUUUUACUACUUGGGAAUCUGAGCUGAAAAAAUGUAUUUUCUUGGCUGCUGAAAAGAUGUAAAAGCAAGAAGUUAGGGAUGUGGUAAUCUGUGAAAAUAAAAGUCAGUGCGUGAGAAAAAUACACAAUAAAUACAGCCAGCUGCCACUGGGUGGCUCUCCCUGGAAAGUACAGACAUGUGCCAAUACAACUAAAAUAACCAGACUUCUGUAAUACCUCGGAUUUCUGCAGUUUUUUAUGGAACUUUGUUACAGUAUCAAAAAACCUCUUAGUAGCCCGAGUGGUUUCAAAUUUAUUGUGUUAUUUUGGCAUAUUCUAAAAAAACUACAAAAAGAGGGGAAAAGACUAUCUAUUGCACAAUCCUGUUUGCUAGAUUAAAACUUUUUCUCUGAUAUCUUGAAGCCUCACCACCAGUGAUUAACAGUCAGUAAACCAAGAAGUAGUUUAGCAGCACAAGAUGUGAUUUAGUUUGUUAAACCUAAAAACUCAAUAAAGCUAAAAGAAUCAAUACAAAAUUAGAAUGUGUAUCAUGUGGUAGGCUCUUGUACAGGUAGGCAGUGUUACAGCCUGUUUCUAUUGCCAUUGGAUAUAGCAUGGAAGUUUUACAAUUAACUAAUUCUUAUUUUGGAAUUACACACCUAAUCUUGGUUUAUGAAAGAGUCCAUCCAGACACAGAAGAAAUCUGAUCAGUGGAAAGCCAUAAAGAAAUCAGCAGCUCCCUGCUGAUACUGCAGUGAGCUGGUCCUGUGGAGAGGAAUGAUAUUCUUUGUCCUCAAGGCACAGCAGAUGAAACAAGCUGCUUCUCUCUGCAGCUGGGAAUUGCUGAAGGUUAAGCUUAUUAAAUUUGGAGACCUGCUGAGAAGGGAAUGAAGAGCUCACCCAAAGGCAAAAAGUCAGAAAAAGGUUCUUGGGAGAAGAAAGCCAAGGGGAAGAGAGAAUGGCAGGCUGCACCCUGCUCUGGUAACAUUGGCAAAACAAUGUCAGCAUCCUCUUCUAGGACUGUGUUGUUGGCUGCAGGAGUCUCCACUUCAGACACUGCACUGUACAAAAUAAACAUCAUAUAUUGAAUAAAAAGUGGAAAUACAUCCCAAGCAGACAAAGAGGUUCCUGAUAUGUCUUACCAGGGAUCUAAUUCUGAUGCCUUUCUGAUACAUAGGGUAUAACUGCUUAAUUAAGUGAGCAGAUAGGAGUAACCAUUUUGGACGUGUGAAACAAAGAAUGCAUUGUAAUACACUGUGUUCCAAGAAGCUGGCGUUCCUGCAGUAGGAAAUUAUCUGUCAUUAUGGAAUUGAGAUACAGACCUAAGCUUUUUUUAUUCUGCAGUAGCAUUUAAGUGUAGUGAUCUGGAACAGCUGCUUAAUUUAUUUACAGCCAGAAGUACAUUUGCUACAUGCACUGAGAUUUACAAACAAAGAAUGAUAAUGAAGGUAUAUUUUUCACCUUGUUUCCAGAAAUAUUUAGAUGGUUUUGAGCAUUUAAAGAAGUUUUCAGAGCAUGCAAAGCAUUAAACAAAACUGAAGAAAGAGAACCUGCAAAUCUUGACCUUUUACUUGGGUAAUUUGAAACUCUAAGGACUUACAAAGAAAGAAUGUAUCUUGGGGAAAAAUGAAGGAAAAUAAAAGGCACUGCUGAAUUUCUUCUGUGCAAACUGACUUUUUAAAAAAUGGACUAGUCCAACCACAACACAAAUUCUAUGGAAAGACCAGAACUGACUGAUGUCUUUGAAUCCUAGAAAGCUUAAAAAAUGAUCACGGAGGACUCUGCAAGGUGCAAGCACAACAGGUAUAGCUGCUGAUAGUCCAUUUAGUCAAGUUGGCUGCUGAGAUGGGAAAUAAUAAGCUCCAUUGCUCAAAGAACAGGUACAGUUUGCUUUCUGAACAGCACAAUGCAGUUUCAAGCUGCUCUCUGCUGCUGACUGAAAUGCUCCAAUGUUUGACAGUAUUUACUGUGUACUUCAGUCUCAGUCAGUAUCUGUCUAUCAAUCUGUCUAUACAUUGUGGAUUGCUUUUUAUCCUCUUUUGAAGCCAGAGGUGUAAAUAAAGCUGA